Molecule: long non-coding RNA, 425 nt
Filed under: Polistes fuscatus (common paper wasp)
Lineage: Eukaryota; Metazoa; Arthropoda; Insecta; Hymenoptera; Vespidae
Description: uncharacterized LOC122526514
Source: RNAcentral
AAAAACUUGAAAUGUAUAAAUUUUCACUGUAACAUAAAGACAAAAAAAAAGAAAGGACUGGAUAUUUCGAGAAAACGGAAAUUCGUCGAAGAAUCCCGGGAGAAGCGAAUAGCCCGGCGGACUAGUGAAUCGACCAAGCGAUAGAGGGAUGAUAGCAAGAGGAAGAAUGGGGAGAGAAGGGAGCACAGGAAAAUGGAGGGAGGGAAGAAGAAAUGGGAAGGGGACAGAUAGGAGAACGAAAGAAGGGAAGAGCGCGCAACUGUGGCGCAAAGAGAAAGAGGAAGAGAGAGAGAUACCUACCAAAAAAUGGAGCAACGCUGAGACAACAGAGGAAGUGUAAGAACGUACAAUAAUGUUCGCGCUUUAACACACUAAAAUGUAUGACACUAGUGAAAUUAAACCGAUUUGUUCAAAGUAGCACACAA